GCACCCAUGGCCUAACUGGAUAUGGCGUGUCCCUCCGAAGGACAAGGUUGCAGGUUCGAAUCCUGCUGGGUGCGCCA
This 77-nucleotide transfer RNA is filed under the name Alphaproteobacteria bacterium. RNAcentral describes it as "tRNA-Arg". It matches the Rfam family "tRNA". Rfam says of the family: Transfer RNA (tRNA) molecules are approximately 80 nucleotides in length. Their secondary structure includes four short double-helical elements and three loops (D, anti-codon, and T loops). The record is from RNAcentral. Lineage: Bacteria; Pseudomonadati; Pseudomonadota; Alphaproteobacteria.